RNAcentral lists this long non-coding RNA (1381 nucleotides) under Oryctolagus cuniculus (rabbit). RNAcentral's name for it is "lncRNA (ENSOCUG00000035525.1)". Lineage: Eukaryota; Metazoa; Chordata; Mammalia; Lagomorpha; Leporidae. The record is from RNAcentral.
AUGCUGACAGCAAUAGAUAAAAGGACAAAGUCAAAGUUUUUCUUUUUUCCUUUUUUUGAAGCUGGACACCUGGGAAUAUUUAGAAAUCAGAGAAGAAGCCAAGACUGGAAUGAGGAAGAUAAGAGAAUUGAAUUGUCCAAGUGCUUGAUAGUGGACCUGCAGCUAUCCAUACAGUAGGACACAAAACCUCCAUUUGAAAAUGUGUGUACAAUACUGAAAGAUUGGGGUAAGGCUGAAAAAUUUAAUUCACUUUUAUGAGCUUGGGUCAGGUUAACAACCUUACAAAGACUAAACCAUUUGUUUCUGCCUCUACUCGUUUGAGUGCCAAUUGACUGAAUUAAAUGCUUAAGAAUUAACUUGCUCUUGGCCUGUUGAGUGAGCUAAUUUGAAGUGACUACAAUUUAUUUCCUUCGUGCUCCUAUUCAUGACAUAUGAUAGGAUCAUGGCUCUGGUUAAUUAACAGGUAAGCUACAGGCACAAGUUAUCCUGCCCAAGUUGUUUCCUCAGUCUUCUGUGUGUGUAUCAGUGUGUGUGUGUGUGUGUGUUUCCUUUUGGUUUGCUUUGGGGGGGGAUCCCUGUUACCUUAUCUAAUGUGAUACAUUAGAAGGGCAGAUAAAAACACAGGAAGCUCUGAUCUCAUUAGCUGCCUUAGAAGGACAGAGAGGAAUGGAAGAGAUCUUCUAUUUUACUCGGUGCUAGCAAAUAAGUGCUCUCAGACAGCUACAAAGGCAAAGUCCCCAAGGAACCAAGAGUGAAAACAUUUGAGUCAUCUUGUGGAGGGACACAAGCUGAAACUCAGAGGCUGUUUUUGUGAACACAAAAUAACUUGGAGAACCCAACUUGACCUGAACACACAGAUCACUUUUUCCAAAUGCCAAACAAAAGCUGAAGGUUCCAAGUAAAAUUCUUGGGACCUUCUUUCUCUUAGUUAUUGGAACAGCGAUUGACAGGGAUGCAGUCAUCUGGGACGUCAUCAGGCCCAUGAGCAAAUGGACACUGCAUGUGGGUAAAGAGACUGCAGUGAAUGAUUCAGCACACAAACAGGACUGCCCCUAGAAUCAGUGGCUUGCUCCAAUUGAUCUCUCCUUAUGAUGACGGUGACACAAAGUCACAUCGGCUAGAAGCAUAGCACUGUAGAGACACAGCUAGUGAUCAAUACAGAUGCACAUAGAUGGAACAAAUACUACAAAAUGGUGGUUCUUUUGCAUUGAAUCAAUCUUUUCUAGUUCUGAUUAUUUAGAAUUAUCUUAAAAAAAAAGAUUGUGCUUCAGCUUCCAAAAUUUCUCUUACUUCAUGGUUUCUGAUGAAAUUUCUCUCGCUUUCUUCAUUAGAUUCUCUUCUAUAUUUCCUCAGCCAAUAAACAUGCAUGGAUAGAAAACCA